ACGUUCCCAAAGAAAUGUCCCCCCCCGCCGUUCCCAAAGCAAUGCCCCCCCCAAAAAAAAAUUCAUUACACAUCACACCUUUUAUACUGUUGCCAUGCCCAUCAAGGCCCUGAUUGGUGAACCGCUGACCCAUUCAUAGCUUAUAACAUACAGUAUUUUCAACUGACAAACAUGAUUACAUUUUCAUUUACCCUGAAAUGAUUAUUCAACAUGUCCUCUCCUGGGAUUUGAACUCACAACCACUUGGUUUGCGGUACUCCGAUCUUCCUGCUACGCCACCAUGACUGUGUAAGUUGUAGGCCCUAACAGCUUUAUGUAGGCCCUAACAGCUCUAAGUAGGCCCUGACAGCUUUAUGUCGGUCCUAACAGCUCUACGUAGGCCCUAACAGCUUUAUGUAGGCCCUAACAGCUUUAUGUCGGCCCUGACAGCUUUAUGUAGGCCCUAACAGCUUUAUGUCGGCCCUAACAGCUUUAUGUAGGCCCUAACAGCUCCAUGUAGGCCCUAACAGUUUGUGGGCACCGUUUGUCACCGUUAUAGUGUAAUUAAUGCAUUGUUUAGUGUUGUGUAGUGGCUUUGCUGGCAUGCAUCUAAAACAAUUUUUUGGGAGUUUGCCCCACCAAGAUUUACAUGCUAAAAUCGCCACUGAUUACCAUGUAUAUUAAACUAUGGUGAAUCGCUGUAUGUUUCAAUGCUGUAUGUACCAUCAGUGCCACAUCUGUUUUGAGCCCCACCUGUUUAGCAAAAACAAUAUAUAUGUUUUGCCUUUUUUUAAUGUUAUUUUAUCACAUAACAGUUUGCAAACAAUGUACAAAAGAAAGAGUUAAUAAAG
Oncorhynchus tshawytscha (Chinook salmon) is the source of this 830-nucleotide long non-coding RNA. Lineage: Eukaryota; Metazoa; Chordata; Actinopteri; Salmoniformes; Salmonidae. The record is from Ensembl.